RNAcentral lists this transfer RNA (74 nucleotides) under Coprobacillus sp. OF02-11LB. RNAcentral's name for it is "tRNA-Gly". It matches the Rfam family "tRNA". From Rfam's summary of the family: Transfer RNA (tRNA) molecules are approximately 80 nucleotides in length. Their secondary structure includes four short double-helical elements and three loops (D, anti-codon, and T loops). Further hydrogen bonds mediate the characteristic L-shaped molecular structure. tRNAs have two regions of fundamental functional importance: the anti-codon, which is responsible for specific mRNA codon recognition, and the 3' end, to which the tRNAs corresponding amino acid is attached (by aminoacyl-tRNA synthetases). tRNAs cope with the degeneracy of the genetic code in two manners: having more than one tRNA (with a specific anti-codon) for a particular amino acid; and 'wobble' base-pairing, i.e. permitting non-standard base-pairing at the 3rd anti-codon position. The record is from RNAcentral. Lineage: Bacteria; Bacillati; Bacillota; Erysipelotrichia; Erysipelotrichales; Coprobacillaceae.
GCGGGUGUAGUUCAAUGGUAGAACUUCAGCCUUCCAAGCUGACUACGUGGGCUCGAUUCCCAUCACCCGCUCCA